Molecule: small RNA, 28 nt
Filed under: Bombyx mori (domestic silkworm)
Lineage: Eukaryota; Metazoa; Arthropoda; Insecta; Lepidoptera; Bombycidae
Description: ovarian small RNA-31473
Source: RNAcentral
UGACAUUCCGCGAACACCGAGCGAACCU